RNAcentral lists this ribosomal RNA (518 nucleotides) under uncultured bacterium. Its description in RNAcentral is "bacterial SSU rRNA". It matches the Rfam family "Bacterial small subunit ribosomal RNA", at positions 28 to 526 of the family's 1533-position model. The record is from RNAcentral.
AGCGAACGUUAGCGGCGCGCCUAACACAUGCAAGUCGCACGAGAAAGGGCUUCGGCCCCGGUAAAGUGGCGCACGGGUGAGUAACACGUGGGCAACCUGCCCAACCCUGGGGGAUAACCUGCCGAAAGGCGGGCUAAUACCGCGUACGAGGGCUCGACUUCGGUCGGGUUCUGAAAGCAGGCCUCUGUAUACAAGCUUGUGGGGUUGGAUGGGCCCGCGCUCCAUCAGCUAGUUGGUGAGGUAACGGCUCACCAAGGCUACGACGGAUAGCUGGUCUGAGAGGAUGAUCAGCCACACUGGAACUGAGACACGGUCCAGACUCCUACGGGAGGCAGCAGUGGGGAAUCUUGCGCAAUGGACGAAAGUCUGACGCAGCGACGCCGCGUGGGUGACGAAGGCCUUCGGGUUGUAAAGCCCUGUGGGGUGAGACGAACAGCUAGAGUUCGAAUAGGGCUCUGGUCUGACGGUAUCACCUUAGCAAGCACCGGCUAACUCUGUGCCAGCCGCCGCCGUAAAAC